This 8802-nucleotide long non-coding RNA is filed under the name Eucalyptus grandis. RNAcentral's name for it is "long non-coding RNA (EGRA_LNC004071)". Lineage: Eukaryota; Viridiplantae; Streptophyta; Magnoliopsida; Myrtales; Myrtaceae. The record is from RNAcentral.
UUCAUUCUUCACAGGCUCAUCUACGGGCCUGAAAUGUUGUCCCACAAUCGGGAUGAAACUACGUCUCAACAAGUUCUACCCCACUAAGACUCAAUUAAGAAACGAAUACGCUAAUCGAGCUGCCUAUACAAGCACGGGUCAGAAGACUUACCUUGGCCUCAGAUUCCGCUUGCAUAUUAGCACAAUUCAAUAGGCACCCAAGAAAUCACAUCACAGAUCGAUAUAUCGAUCAAUCGACCUAGUCGAUUUCAUGUCAAUCGGACCAUUCAUCGGUCAUUUCAAUUCAAUCAAUCAAUUCACGACAUCAUAUCAAAACAAUGAUCAAUCGACCUAGUCAAUUACAUGUCAUCACGACCCACGCUUGGUCGGCACAUUCAAUACUAUCUAUAAGUCCGAUUAUAGUCUAGGACUGCUCACUCUAAGCUGAUAAAUAGAUAGUAUAGCUCGCACUAAGCUAAUAGGGUUAAGGUAUACUGCUCUUGCUAAGCUGACAUAUCGCCCGUGGGUUGAUAUAGUAUACCGAUAUACCGCUCUCGCUAAGCUGACGUAUCAGAGCCCGUAGGAUGAUAUAGUAUACUAUUCUGAUCAUUAAAUCAAUUCCCUCUUUUAUCAUUCUCGAUAAAAUAGCCGUGUGUGGAGACACGGUUGACCUUAGCCAAAAUAUAAUAUUUUCAUUUCCAUAACUCCCACAUUUUCUGUAGUCUACUCAAAUCUCUUUGGCAUUAUUAACCAAUGCCCGGUUAUUUUUCAAUUAAUAACCAAUGAUUAUCCAAUUAAAGAAUAAUUCCCACUUUCACAUAUAAUUCAAUUCAGCAUGAAAUAAAGCUCAAUUAAAUAAAUGGUUUGUGCCACAAUAAUCAGCAUAAAAUUUCAGUCGUCAGCUAUCAUUGCCUAAUUUCUAAAAAAUAAAUAAUUAAAUAAUUAAUUUAGAAAAUUAAUAAAUAAAUAUUAAAAAUCCAAUUUAGGCCCGUAAUGCCUAAUUGAAGCCCGAUAAGGGUCAGAAAAAAUCCCGAGAUGCAUUCAAUAAAUAGUAUAUGCAGUUCUCUAGCUAAGUACACUAAUCGCCUAACUAAUAUGUAAUGCAAUUAACUAAUAAUCACUAAUUCAUUCUAAUCUAACCACCUAAUUGCACUUAAUUAAAUCUAAUCAACCCUUUAAGCAUCAUUAGUCUACUAAGCAAGCAUUAGUGAGAUUACUCACUUGGCAAAGCGAAGAAUGGAACACCGCGACAGCGACGCGACGGCGGCCGAAAUCGGGCUUUCGAUGACACCAGCGGGUUUGGACUAGGCCUUAAACUUGGGCCCAACAAAUCUCAGCUCAACUGAGAUUUGUUUUUGCGCUGGACUGGGCUCACUCUUGGGCUUGGGCUUAGCUGCAAAUGGGCCUUCUUCGCGGGCUGAACUUCAAAUGGGCUUGCUGCAAGUUGGGCCGAACUGUUCAAUUGAUGGGCUAACUGCUGUAACUGAAAUUACGGGCUGAAGACACUAGAUGGGCCGCUGGGCUUGCAGCUUCAACUGGACUGAACAAGGAAGCAACAAAGUUGCUGUUGGGCCGAGCUUUGUCGGGCUGUUUUCGGUGGAUACGGACGAGCGGGCGACAGCUUCAGUUGACUGAGGAGAUGCGUGGACCAGCGAGCUAGCGAAGGAAGCAGCAGCUUUGUGCAUUGCUGAGGGCUGCUUCAAUGGAACGCCGCUGAUGGGCCGAACGUGCGAAGAUGAGGGUCAACGGUGGGGCUUCUUUGGUGAGUGGUUGACCGAGCAAAACCACUCCACGUGCAACUGAAGAAGACGAGCAGCUUCGGUGGGUUGAAGAAGCUGAUGAAGAUAUGCGGGCAAAUGAUGGCAGAAGCGGCAGCUCGGUGGAUUGGGCUUUGACCUUCUUCGCACAGCCAACGAUGGAAGUGGACUUGCGUGAAGAUGGGCUCGAUUGACUGGAUUUGUGGGGAUGGCGGUGAGAGAAGACUCGCACACGGUAGAGGGAUGGAGCUGCUUCGGGCUUUGCUCGAUUGAAGACACAUGCAUGGAGGAGCUUCGCUCGGUGGAUUGCUGGGUCAACAAACUGCCUAGGAAAUUUGCAACGUUGACUGGUGGGCGUUUGAUGUUGGACGAGUAGCAAAGGAGAGGAACUUCGGUGGAGGCGUGUGGGUGUUUGGAGCGAAGGAAAUGAAUAGAGAAAAAAAUGGAGGAACGGUCCAGCAGGAGGAAAAGAAAUGAUGAGGAUCGAAGGGGUUGGCCUCGUGCGUUGAAGGAGAUGGAGGGGAAGCCAUGCGGAAGAAGCCAAUGAAAAGGAGAGGAACCCAAAAAUCAUUAAACCUUAGCCAUUCCCUUCAAUUCUUGGUUCCCCCAAAGCCUACACACAAAUAUCUAAUGUUCCCAAAUACUUUCUCAACAUUUAGUCCCACCAAUAAUCCAAAUUGAAGCCAUAAAUGCAACUCUCUUUCAUUGCUCCGAAUUUCACUAAUUUGGGCCUUAAUUUUCUCACCAAAUUCCCAAAUUUGGUGUCCAAUUUCGUCACAGAAAAAGCCCAUACCAUUUCUGCAAGUCCCCAUCGCCAAAUAGCUCGGUUUGACAAUCAAAAACCUCUUCAAUGCGGCCAAUCCAAAUUUCCGUUAAUUUUCCGCAACGUUCGAAACGGUUGUCCAUAAAAAUCUCAUAAUCUCCGAAAAUUCUUCGGAGGGUGAAUCGACAUUCCUAAAAUAGCUCGUGACAUGACAGAACUUUCAAUUUCUAAAAUCAGACUCGAAUUCACGGUUAAUUUCCAUUCGACACGUUUUUAGCAUGACCUAGGCUAUCGGGUAAUAUUCAUAAUUUUUUUUAAGCAAAUAACCUGUGGUCAAUUUUCUUCGAGCCACAAUGAACUCACUCGACACAUUGGCGACUCUCGAUUGUUGUGAAAAUCUUGAGGGUUCAAAUAUGGAAAUAGGGUACAAAAGUGAUAGAAAAAUCAAAUUAGUGCCGGUCGAUGAGAAUUUUUCAAUUUAUUGGUGUCACUCACGAUUAGCCACACAUCUCAGUCGAACCGACCUAUCUCUGAUCUCUAAUCGAUUUAUAUCUGUGCCGUAAUGAUCUCGGUAGAUGAGCACGGUCGAACAGCCGAUUCCUGAUCGAAUUCUCAAGUCUAUUUGCCUUAAAAUUCUUAAUGGCUUUCCCAAAUAGUCUAGUUUUUUUCUAGAAUGAUCAAUUCUGAAAACAGCCCUAUAGACGCGUCAAUGAAAUGCCCAAUUUAUUCAAUAGAAAACAUGACUGAAAAUUUGGGAUGUCAUAACUCUUCCCCUCUUAUAAAAAUUUCGUCUUCGAAAUUUAAACCUUUACCAAUCCUUAAACAAAAAGGUAAGGGUAUCAUCGUCUCAUCUAGUCUCACUUUCCUCAGUUGCUUCUUCAGUCCCGUGGCAUUGUUAGACCACUUUGACCAAAGGGACCUUCUUGAUACACAGAAUCUGAUCUUUCUUAUCCACAAGCUGAACCGAACUUUUCAUGUAUGACACUCUGUCGUCCACACCUAAUUUUUCAAGAUUUAGCACAUGGGUCGUGUCAGGCUCAUGUGUCCUCAACACCGACACGUGAAAGACGUCAUGCACUUGCGCUAACCUCGGCGGCAAUGCAAGACGAUACGAUAGGAUCCCAAUUCCUUUCACAAUCUCAAAGGGACCUACGUACUUCGAUUUCAAUUUUCCCUCCUUGCUAAAAUGCAAGGUAUCCCUCAUUGGUGACACCUUCAGAAAGGUGUACUCACCAAUUUAGAACUUUUGGGGCCUUCAAUGCUCAACAAUAUAAUUAUUCUAGCAGUUGUGAGCGGUCCGUACUCUGGCACUGAUCAUGGUAAUUGCAACUAUUGACUGCUGAACUGACUCUGGGCCUGUGAUCUUUCUUUCUCUAAUCUCAUCUCAACAAACUAAAGUUCUGCACACACUACUCUGUCCUGCCUCAAAAGGAACUAUUUGACUGUUCUAUUGAAACUGGGAACCUCGGUUUUAGAUCUGAUAUAAGUUCAUCACUGGUACCCACGCAGACAAACUAUUUGACACACAUACACUUCUGCAAGUCUAUUCUAAUCAAGAUCCUUCCAUACGGCGAUAAAGUAAGUCGACUUCAUCAGUCUAUCGACCACUACCCUAACUUGAGUCAUUAUUCCUCUGACUCCUUAGUAAACCCAUCCCAACCUUCCAUCAUGAUAUACUUCCAUUCCCACUCGGGACUCUCGAGUGAUUAUAAAAUUCUUCCCGGUUUGCUUUAAUGAACUCCCACUCACUAGCACAUCUGACACUUACAACCUGCGGCGAUGUCUAUCUUCAUAUCGGUCUACCAAUCGAGCCGACGUUGAUUCUGACCUACCUCGCAUUAUAUGGUCAAAUACUGCAAUACCACAGUGAAUUUCCUAACAAGGUCUUCUCCUCAAGUUCCAUACUAUCUGACACCUAUCAUCACCCACGAUACUUCGACGUUCCAUCUUUCGAAAUCUGAAAGUCAACUUUUCCCUCACCGAUAUCUUCUUAUAGGAUUUUCUGAACAUCUCAGUCUGUCAACUGAAGCAUAUGAUUCUAACUUGAAUAUCCGAUUCAAUUUUGAGGGCGGCUAUAGAAUUCAAAAGGUAGCCCACCUCAAAUUUGAAAACCAAAUUUCGAACUUUUUCAAGUAAGUUUCAUACUUUAACCCGUAUAUGCACCAUUAAAGACUCUUGACUCAACGCAUCAGUGACUUCUUUCUUUCCCCCAGGGUGAUACCAGGUAGCACCAUUCUAGUCCUGCCAAUCUUCUGACUCACGACACCAUCUCAUAUUGAAGUCAUUAGGUCUCAACUGGCGGGACGCAUAUGAAAUGAUCUCAUCAUGUCGCAUCAGUACACACCCAGUCCUCCGCACAAUACCUCACUAUAGAUCUCGCUUAACUGAUAACUGUUUCAAUCUUCAUCGAGUCCACGGAUAUUCUUUCACCAUUCUCAGAUGUCUGUUGUGCUCCUCAGCAUUCCUCGAAUGCACCAGAAUGUCAUUAAAAGACAUGAGCACAACUGAUCUAAAUAUUCCUUGCACACUCAGUUUGCCAAAUCCAUGACAGUAGCUGGAGUGUUUACCAAGCCAAACGAUCUUACAAUACUCUCGUAAAGAUCAUAUCAAGUACAAAAAACUUUCUUUAGUAUAACCUCCUUCUUGGUUCGUGACUGACGACAUCUUGUUCUUAAGUUGAUCCUUGAAAACAUCGACACUCUUGAUGUCUGGUCACCCAAUUCGUCAAUCUUUUACAAUGGACGCUUGUCCUUGAUCGUCACCUAAUUGAGUUGACGAUGGUCGAUGCAUACUCGCAACAAACCAUCUUUCUUUUUCUCAUAAACAAAACUGAUGUUUCCCCAAAGUGAUGCACUGAUAAGCAUAAAUUCCUCAUUCAUCAAUCUUCACAUCUGCAUCUUCAAUUCCACCAAUUCAGACAACAACAGCUGGUAAGAAGCCUUCAAGAGUGGCUCUAUCCUGGUGCUAGCUCGAUUGCACUUUCUAUCUCUUUCUCUGACGACGGUCUAACAGUUCUUGUGACAACACAUCUAGAAAUUCUUAGACCACUGAGAAGUCCUCCAUCUCUAGUUCUCCAAUCUAUCCUACCCAAGACAAUCGCCAAGCAAUCUUAGCAACCUCCAUCUAACAAACAAGUUGCCUCCAGCCAACAAGAUUAAUGAAAUCGAGAAUUCUCUCGACUCCCAAUAGCCUUGACACUUUCACAAGAUGCUCCAUGAACCCACACUAUUCACGUGGCGUCAAACUCACACCUUAGCAACUAGUCAAGCACAACUAUUGCUAGUGAUUUCCCCUCUCUUUCACUUUUACUUCAACAAUUUAAGUUCUACCAACUCAGCACAAAACUCUGCUGCGCUGCUCUGAUAAAAUCACCUCUAACACAUUCUUUCUCUAAUCGGUGCAAGGUCAAUUCUACUCACAUUCCUUUCGCCAUCCUAGUGGCGUUCUAGCCAUAGUAGCGAUGUCUAUGCUACCUUAGACUUCCACUGACAAUCCUUCACCUGAUGGUCAUGUUGCUCAUCAUCACAACAUGUUCUAGUCAUACUCGGACACUAGAUUUAUCCAUUCUUCCUUCUACAAUUCCGACACCUAUCUGGUGCGUCUUCUAUCUCCUAUCAGGUGAAAGCAUGCACUAUUUCUGGUACUAGAUACCUAUUCCAAAACUCCACUAUGCGUUCUAUGGCGCAUUUCCUCUAAUCUGUCUCAUCGGCCUUCUAGGGCUAUCUUCGGUUAGGUAACUCUGUUGGCUAUAAUUGAAACAAAUUCUUGUCCUAAGAAAACAUAAGGCUGAUGUUUGCCAUCACGCACAAGAACAACAUGUCCCAUUUUGACUUAGUGCUGACCUAACUGUCACACCCUUCUUAUUGGGUGGAAUAGAAUACUCUUCUCUCCACAUCGGUCUUUUCCUUGACCGAUUUCCAUCUCUGCUUGAACUGGAGCUGUACCUUGACUCGGAUGCAACGGCGCUCCCAGAUCAUAUCUCCACACUGGACCUCAGUAGGUGCGGCAACAACGGCGGCUCGAUCCUGAGCUUGUUGACUUAACCAAUUCUAAGGACACUAGCGCCUGAACGAUCCCGUCGAACCUAGGAUCGCUCGAUGCUACUACACAAGUACCAACCUGCGAUGGUACUCUUACACUCGAGCUGGCCAGAACCGACACUCUGCCACAACCACCUCAGGUACUGACCUUUGUCAGUGCUUUAUCCCGAGUGACAGAGGACAUUGUCCUCUUACUAGGAGUUCUCAGCUCCUGCUCGCUCAUGGUUCAGUCUUUACACUAAAACCCGUCUUCCAAAUCCACACUGGAUUAGAAGGUGAGCGAUCCACACACAACAAACAAUUCUAGCAUUCAGCUAACACAAACAUGCACCAGCAUGAAUUUAAAGGUCUUUCUUACUACUAUCCCAAGACUCAUCGCUCCUUAUCACUCUAAGAUUUAACUUCGCUCUAAUACCACAAAAAGGGGAUGUCAUGCCUCGAUCAUCGGGCACGCACACAUCCUUCUACUUGGUCAAUUUUAUAAUGCGAUAUCCUAGGACUAAGUAUUGCCGACCCUUUUCAUUUAUUAAGCACAUGCGGAAGUAGUUAUAAAUCCCCAGACAAUAACACAAUGGGAUAGAAAAGCAAUGUCAUAUUUUUCAGAUUGAAAUCCAUAACCAAACAUUUAUACAUGGCAUAACUCAAACUCUAUUCACAAGACUAUUCAUAACAUUCUAGUUUCACACUAUUCACAUUUAGAUAAGAUUCACGAAAGAGGAUGGGAUCUCAGUCCUCAUCCAGGUCGUACUUAGGAUCAUCCUGAUCCUCUUCUGACUCUUCUUCACUAAGCUCACAUCCUUCAAGCUCUUCAUCUUUUACUGAUCAUCCUGAUCCUCUUCUGACUCUUCUUCACUAAGCUCACAUCCUUCAAGCUCUUCAUCUUUUACUGGCUCAUCGUCCUCUUCUGGUUCCUUCUUCACAGGCUUAUCUAUGGGCCUGAAAUGUUGUCCCACAGCCGGGAUGAGACUACGUCUUAGCAAGUUCUACCCCACUAAGACUCAGUUAGGAAACCAAUACGCUAACCGGGCUACCUAUACAAGCACGGGUCGGAGCACUUACCUUGGCCUCAGAUUCCACCUGCAUAUUAGCACAAUUCAAUAGGCACCCAAGCAAUCACAUCACGGAUCGAUAUCUCGAUCAAUCGACCUAGUCGAUUUCAUGUCAAUCGGACCAUUCAUCGGUCAUUUCAAUUCAAUCAAUCAAUUAACGACAUCAUAUCAAAGCAAUGAUCAAUCGACCUAGUCGAUUACAUGUCAUCUCGACCCAUGCUUGGUCGGCACAUUCAAUACUAUCUAUAAGUCCGAUCAUAGUCUAGGACUGCUCAUUCUAAGCUGAUAAAUAUAUAGUAUAGCUCGCAUUAAGUUGAUAGGGUUAAGGUAUACUGUUCUCGCUAAGCUGACAUAUCGCCCAUAGGCUAAUAUAGUAUACCAGUAUGCUACUCUCGCUAAGCCGACAUAUCGCCCGCAGGCUGAUAUAGAAUACCCUCGAUACUCACUCUAAACUGAUAAAGUGUACUACUCACGCUAAGCUGAUAUAUCGCUCGUGGGUUGAUAUAGUACACUAGUAUAUUGCUCUCACUAAGCUGACAUAUCAGAGCCCGUAGGAUGAUAUAGUAUACUAUUCUGAUCAUUCAAUCAAUUCCCUCUUUUAUCAUUCUCGAUAAAAUAGCCGUGUGUGGGGACACGAUUGACCUUAGCUAAAAUAUAAUAUUUUCAUUUCCAUAACUCCCACAUUUUCUGUAGUCUACUCAAAUCUCUUUGGCAUUAUUAACCGAUGCUCGGUUAUUUUUCAAUUAAUAACCAAUGAUUAUCCAAUUAAAGAAUAAUUCUCACUUUCACAAAUAAUUCGAUUCAGCAUGAAAUAAAGCUCAAUUAAAUAAACGGACUGCGCCACGAUAAUCAGCAUAAAACUUUGGUCGUCGACUACCCUUACCUAAUUUCUAAAAAAUAAAUAAUUAAAUAAUUAAUUUAGAAAAUUAAUAAAUAAAUAUUAAAAAUCCAUUUUAGGCCCGUAAUGCCUAAUUGAAGCCCGAUAAGGGUCAGGAAAAAUCCUGAGAUUAGUGAGAUUACUCACUUGGCAAAGCGAAGACCAGAACACCGUGACGGCGACGCGACGGCGGCCGAAAUCGAGCUUUCAACGACACCAGCGGGCUUGGACCGAGCCUUAAACUUGGGCCCAACAAAUCUCAGCUCAACUGAGAUUUGUUCUUGCGCUGGACUGGGCUCACUCUUGGGCUUGGGCUUGGCUGCGAAUGGGCCUUCUU